This 406-nucleotide ribosomal RNA is filed under the name uncultured bacterium. RNAcentral's name for it is "partial 16S ribosomal RNA". It matches the Rfam family "Bacterial small subunit ribosomal RNA", at positions 360 to 773 of the family's 1533-position model. The record is from RNAcentral.
AAUAUUGCGCAAUGGACGGAAGUCUGACGCAGCGCCGCCGCGUGAGCGAUUAAGGCCUUCGGGUCUUAAAGCUCUGUCCUUGGGGAAGAAGGUCUUCGGACUUGACGGUACCCAAGAAGAAAGCCCCUGCUAACUACGUGCCAGCAGCCGCGGUAAUACGUAGGGGGCGAGCGUUUUCCGGAAGUACUGGGCGUAAGGGGUGCGUAGGCGGCCCUUUAAGUCAGAUGUGAAAGGCCACGGCUUAACCGUGGGAUUGCAUUUGAAACUGGAGGGCUUGAGUGUCGGAGAGGGUAGUGGAAUUCCCAGUGUAGCGGUGAAAUGCGUAGAUAUUGGGAGGAACACCAGUGGCGAAGGCGACUACCUGGACGAUAACUGACGCUGAGGCACGAAAGCUAGGGGAGCAAAC